Molecule: long non-coding RNA, 9076 nt
Filed under: Gossypium raimondii (Peruvian cotton)
Lineage: Eukaryota; Viridiplantae; Streptophyta; Magnoliopsida; Malvales; Malvaceae
Description: long non-coding RNA (GRAI_LNC000944)
Source: RNAcentral
ACACGCGCGCCGCUUCCACGCACAACGGUUGUUGUCUGGGUUUGUCUAUCUGUUCUCUUAAGCCAACUCCUUUAUGUCUACCAGAAGACGCCUCAGCCUUGCUCCAUAGCAAAAUGGAAGGAAAGAAAUAUUUUUAUAUAUCUAUUUUCCUUUUCGCUUUGGCUAUAAAAAGCCAAUUAAAAUCUGUAUACCAGGGGAAAAAAAAGAAAUAGAGGAGAAUACUGAAAAUUGAAAGAAAAACAGUGAAAUAGAGGAGAAUACUGAAAGUCGAAAGAGGUGAAUCGCAUCUUUGAUUAUUCAUUAUUUAUUUUUGUUGUUUUUUUACUGCUUUUAUAUUGAACCAAGGGGAAAAAUACUACCUUCGUGGUUACGCCGUGGGGAUCCAAGUCUGCCACGCCUGAGUCGGGGUCGGAAUCGGUGCCGGAAUUUUGACCGACCGAAUCGCUUCAAACGGCGGUGCAAGGAUGGGUUAAAAGAACCCUAGCAGAGCCACAUUUUGUUUUUUUAAAAAGGAACCAAAUGAUUUUGUUUUUUCUUUUUUUUUUUCAGUUUUGUUUCAUUUAUGCAGCACACAAAGAUGGCACCGCUUGGUUUGGGGGUCUGCGCAUAUCAACCUUAAAUGGUAGAAUUGCGCAAUAAGUCCUCCCCCUUUGCGCCAUGUUUUAUUAAGUCAGUUAUUUCUUUUUAAUUUGGCCCAAAUGUUUUUACCUUGUUUCAAAUCGGUCCCCAUUGCGGCGCAGCGUUUUAGGGAGGCGGAUUAUUUCCAUUAGGGCCCCCUCAUAUAAUGCGUGCGUUGCAAAUUGGUCCCUGUUCUAUUUUAAUUUCGUUUUCUGGUUAUUUUGUUCUUUUUUUUGCAAUUCGUUUUUUUUUAAUUUUUAUUUUUAAAUUUAUUACUAUAUUAUUUAUUAUCAUUUAUUACUAUUUCUAUAUUCAUACAUGCAUUUUUUAUAUAGUAUAUAUAUAUAUAUACAUAUUUCUUUAUUUAAUAUUUUUUAAGCUUUUAUAAAUACAUGCAUUCAUACGUGUUAAAAUUUUCUUUUUAUAUAUAGUUUUUUUUUGUUUUAGCUUUCAUAUACUUUAUAUUAUAUAUGUAUCCAUAAGCAUUUUUAUUUUGUAAAUAUAUGCAUAUCCACAUACUUUUAUAUUAUUUUACUCCCAUAAAUUUUUUUUUUUACAUUCAUAUAUACGUGCAUACAUACAUAUUUAAAUUCUCAUACACACAUAUUUUUUUAUAUUUUAUAAAUUUUGAUUCCAUAGUUUUUAUAAACAAGUAUAUAUAUAUACAUGUACAUACACUUUUAUUUUAUAGUACAUACGAAUUUUCCUUAUUCUGGCGCAUAUGCAUUUUUUUAGAAAUUAUUAUAAAUUUUGCCUUUUUAUAUGUACACUUAUAUAUGUGUUUUAACAUAUGUGUACACAUAUUUGCAAGUUUACUUGUAUAUUGUACUUGUAUAUAUAUAUUUGUAAAUAUUUAGUCAUAUAUGUUUUAAAUCAAAGCAUUUGUAUCAUAUUCUACAUUACCUUUUUAACAUACCCUUUUUGAAAAUAUGUUUUGGUUUUAACCAUACAUCAAAGUUAUUUUCUUGCUUCAAAGGUUUUUUUUGAAUAAAAGCAAUAUUCGAAGUUUGGGAUUUUCGAGGGAAAUUGAGCCCUAACAUAUUGAGUUCGGAUUUUCUUUGUUAAUCUUAAAUAACCGAGGAUAUUCUUUAUUCAAAACACAUGAGUAUAAAAAUCAUUUCUGGGAACUUAACUUGUUGUGUCCUAACGUAUUGGGUGUGGCAUGUUACUUUCUCAAAAUGAAGAUUUUCGCAUAAAAUAAAAGUGAUAUUCAAAGUUCGGGAAUUAUGAGGAAUUGUACCCUAAUGUAUUGGGACUCGAUUUAUUUACAUGACUUGAACAAUUGAUUAUCCUUUUGCAAAUUUUAUCAUCUGAGCUGAUUUUAAAAUAUUUUUAACCUUCGACACUAAGACAUUAAAUGAUCAAUUUGGUACCGAUUGUGGGCGUUACGAGGGUGCUAACCCUUCCUCGUGCGUAACUGACUCACGAACUCGUUUUCUCAAAAUUCGUAGACCAACAUAUUUUUUAAGGUGAGCCGAUCACACCUUAAUAAAGGAUCGGUGGUGACUCCAGUUUUAUUUUUAAAGUCGACAACUGAAAUUUUUGCUUUCAAAAAACGGUUUCGACAGCUUGGCGACUCCACUGGGGACUUUAGAGAGUCGAGCCAUAAACUGAUUAUGUUUGUCUUUGUGUCGGAAAUCAAAAGUUUUUUUAAAAAAAUUCAUGAGUUCCCUUCAUACUCAUUGAUUUUUUUUCUUUCCCAUCAUGGUGUUAGCAACUUUGUAUUUGCAUUUACAUUUUGCAUUACAUGGUCAGUUUUACCCUUUAAGUGGGAGCGAGAAACUAGUCCUUCGUGAGGUCUUCACCUCCGUGUAGGGUAGUGGACCGCUUCCGGGAUACAUCCGUACCUAUGUCUUCGUGAGAUUUUCAUCUCCGUGCAGCCAUAGGGAAAUGUAUCCCCCUGAACUGAAGUCGAUCCACAUGAGCCUAUAAUGGGUGAGGAUUGAGGAAUCUGCUGGUUCGGGUACCCUUACUCUAGAAACUAAGCCUCAUAUAGUGAGUUUUAGGAACUUGCCCUAGGUAGAGCUAUACCAAACCCUAGUGGAUUCCUAAAUAAAUGCUCUUGCUAUUUCAUGUUUGUAUUGGAUUAUAUCUUUUUGGUGUGAUACUGACUUGGGUUUAUUUUGUUUUGAUUGCAUGACAUCAUGAUUGCAUUGCAUUUUCAUCAUAAAAAGAGGUGUUGAUUCACGUUCGAUUGUUAAAUAGAGAGCUUGUCAUAAGGAAAUGGGUUUCUUGAUAAAGUGGAAAAUAAUACGGUUGCCCGAAUAUGUUCCGAGAAAACACAACAAGAGAAAGAUAAUAGUUUAAUGGAGGACUACACAACCAUUGCUCCGUUGCCCGAAGACUCAAGCUGACGAAAAUUAUUCGAGAGCCGCUGAACUUUUUUUUAAAGGGAAGCCAACGAGUAUCACGACGGUAAAAGAGCAACGAGUCACGGCCCGGAUCAAGUAAAAAGCAGAUAGAAGAGACAUCCCUUUUGAAGAGUUCGUGAGAUUUAUCUUAAUGCUUGAAUGAAGAAGAGGAUCGAAUGACUCCGCCUAUAAGGGCAAAAUCGUAUAUAUAUCUGCUUUAUGUAAAGAGAUUUGUUUUCUAGUAAAGUUGUUCUAAUAGAAUUGAACCAAGAAUCAACGUCUCUUUUCGCAUUCACUUCAUGCAUUUGCAUUACACAACAUUACAUGCAUUAAGGGCCAUUAAAAGACCCUAAUUGAGUAAAUUUAUUUCAGCUAAAAAACCAACAUUCCUGCGGUACCCGAACAGAAACUAAAGGAAUGGACCAAAGGUUGGAGAGAUUAGAGCUGAUGCAAAUACAGAUGCUAGAGUAAUUGGCCAAAUUUCAACAAGAUAUGAAGGAUUAGAUGCUAGAAAUCCAAAGAAAUUUGAUGAGCCAAUUAACCCAGUUAUUGGAUAUGAGGUUAGGAAAAGGAAAAAACCCAAUGGUCCACUUUGGGAAUGAUAAUGAAGGCCUUGCAUAUCUUCCAGGCUUUACCCCAACAAACAUCCAAGUACAACCAAACACAUAUCCACAAAGGGUAACUGUUAACAUUCGACCACAGUACCAGACCAAUACCUCGACACCGGUGAAUUUCACUACAGGCUCAGGUUCCAAUCUUAGGGGCAAUCUAACUAAUCCUGUUGUCAUCGAUGAUCUAGCAGAAACAAAACAGGCGAAACUAGAGUUUUCAAAACAAUUUGAAGAUUGUUGCAAACGGAAUGGGCAAGAGUGGAACUCCCAAGACAAUACUUCAAAAGUCUCGAGGAAGAGGAAAAAUGAGGUGAAUAAUGUGGGUAGGUAUAACGAGAGUUAUUCAAAGCCGAUUACCGCAAACCAGCCAAAGACGGUUACUAUUGGCCAUCAGAUCCCUCCAAGACAAGAAUCUGGCACAAAGCAAAACAUUAAGAAGUCUCAAUUUACACCAAUCCCAAUGUCGUACCAGGAGCUGUAUCAAAGUUUAUUUGACGCACAUGUUGUCUCCCCUUUCUACUUGAAGCCUUUACAACCUUCGUACCCCAAAUGGUACGACACAAAUGCGCAAUGUGACUAUCAUGCGGGAAUUACGGGGCAUUCUAUAGAAAAUUGCACUGCCUUUAGAAAGCUGGUCGAAAGGUUUAUCAAUAUGGGCAUUGUCAAAUUUGAGGAUUCUUUCAGUACAGAAAACCCGCUACUCAAUCAUACGGAUAAUGAAGGGACUGCGAUAAAUGAAGAAAUGUUGGGAAACGUUCACAUCAGUGCCGAACACAAAGAAACAACUAGAGAAGAGAUCUUGUUAGAUGUUCGCCCUUUAUAAACCUGGGAAUGUUCUAAAUAGUUGGACUGCAGAGGAAACCCUGUAGUAUUUAGAGUCUGUUAGAGUAAUGUUCAGAACACACUUGUUGCUUUCAGCCUAGAAGCAAUAAGAAUUUCUUUGUGAGAUAGGCUCACGUCUAAACAUUAUUAUUUUAAUGAAAUACAUUAUUGCAAUCAUCUUUGAGCAAAUGUUCUUUCAUUCUUUACGUUUUUUUCCAUUCUUUCAAAUUUUUUCUGCCAAAUUAUUCAUUCAUUUAUUCAUAUUACUCAUACAUUCUUUUGUAUAUUCUUCGGUACCCACUAUGGGUCCCCAAAUAUCAAUGACAUGAGUGAUGCUGCAGCAGACCCAGAAUCUCAUUUUGAGUGAGACAUGUGUUUAGAGGGAUCUCACAACUUUGAAGAUGACAUGGAUUGUAGCUUAUUUCUGGACUUAUUAAGGAUGGUAGAGCAGGAAGGAAAUUUUACCUCAUGAGGAGACAAUAGAAACUGUGACCUUGAGGGAACAUGCAUGAUCGAAAAAAUAAAGCAAGGCGUUGCUGAGUUAUUUCAAGCAUUCAAAGAUGCCUUCGUAUGGUCAUACCAGGAUGUACCCAGUUUAAGCGCUGUCAUUGCAAUUUGAACAACAGCCCGAUAUCAGAAAUUUGCAGUAUGUUCAAGGUGAAUAUCAUGAAUGGUGCAGUGAAAACUCUACCGGGGCAAUGCCACUCUUUUUAGUUUAUCACGUUGUUUCAUUAAAGUUGAAAUUCCUUCUCUUCGAGUUUUGACUGAGCUGAAGUAGGAUAAAGAUCCAAUCCCGACACGAUUAGUUGAACUUAAUUGAAGAAAAAGGCUAGAAACUAUUCAUCAAGGUCAGAUGUACCAAGAAAUGAAUGAUGCGAGCCUAUAGCAAAAGGUUUGUCCCAGAGAAUUCCACGAUGGCAACCUAAUGCUGAAGAAGAUCCUCACUCUACAAAAAAAAUAUAACGGAUGCCAAAUUGGGAAAAACAUUAUGUUAUAGAGAAGGUCUUUUCCAAAGGAUCUUUGAUUUUGAGCGAGUUGGAUGAUAAACCUGCAAAGUCCUGUAAACUCAGGUUCAGUCAGGAAAUACUCCGCUUAAAGAAUGAGAUGACCAAGGUGAAAACCCACAAAGGGUGCUUUGAGUCCAAAAAAAUAAAAAGAGAAAAAGAGAAAAAGAGAAAAAUGGAGAGGCUAAGGUGAAAACCCAUAAAGGGCACCUUGAGACCAAAGGGGAUUUGAGUUGAAAACCCGAAAAGGGCGGCUCAAAUAUUGAUCAGAAUGAGGCAUGAGGUAAUCAGAGCAGCUCAAAUACUGAUCACAAUGGGGCAUGCAGUGGUCUUGCUAUACUUGAAUCAACAGGAAAUGGUAGGCGACAUCUUGGGGCAUCGACAAAGUACUUCUAAACACAUGUUAAACUCAGAAUGGUCUUCAGAAAGUUUGUACAAAGAAGUUCAAGCUGCGAUAUCUGGGGCACCUAAUCCUUAUACCAUUUUCUGUUAUUCUUGGAACACUUCAUUCAUUUCCAAGAUGCGCAUUCCUAAAUCAAUUUCUUUGUUAUCCAUCUUUAUUAUCUUUGAUAAUCUAUUCAUUUCAGAGCCAUGCUCUAAAUCAAUUCAAAUCCUACCCAUUGUUAUAAUCUCUUGCAAGCAUGUUGCAUUAGAAUAAUGAUGAAUAGACUAAUAAAACUUUCACAACAGAAGUUUUGUAUAUUACUCUAGAAGUUUCUAAAUAAUACAGGAACUUGAAACAGGACUAUUGUUUAGAACGCACCAGGUUGGAAAUCUGAUAAGGAAAAGUCUAAAUUCAGACUAUCCCUUUGAGUUUUACUGUCUAAAACAUCGAUUGAACAAUACGGCAAGAUGUCGUGUUGGUGACAAAGCUUAAAUGAACAAGCAAGCAAUGAUCACCGAAUAAUAAGAAUAAGUUGUUCUUGGAGAAAACAAUUCUUCAUUUUCGCAUGAGCAUUUGGUAGGACACCCUGGGAAUGGUGUAAGAGACCAAAGAGUUUUACAUCCUGUAUCCUUGAAUUGUGAUAGUAGAGGAUUAAGAAAGGCCAAAUCUUUUUCUCAUGGGUUACAACGGGAGAAAGAUGGUACAAAUUUUACAUCCCAGUGGAUCGAACUUGAAGGUUUACAGUGGGGGCAACCUGAUUAAAUGUUUCCUCAGAAAAGCCAGCUAAGCAAGAAGGCGUUGUAGCACGUCAGUGAUAAAGCCUUAAUAAACUUUGAGCAAUGAUAGCCUAAGAAGGAUCAUUCUUGAAAAAAUAUAAAAUAAAAUUAUGUAUUCAUGCAAACACCAUUCACAUCUGUUUAGUUAGGAGCAUUUGAUUCAUUUUUGAUCAUGUCAUCCUAAUCAUUAGGCAUAAUUAGGUUCACUAUACAGGUCAUGUUCCCCAGAGAACAGAUCAGUGAUGCUAACAGAUAUUGCCUUCCUGCAUCGAAAGAGUGAAGCAGAUCGAAGACACCAACCUCGCCUCCCUCAGAGACAGUGGAGCAGGUUGAAGAUAGCAGAUCUUGCCUUCAUGCAUAGACAGCGAAGCAGAUCAAAGAUGACAGAUUUUACCUCCCUGUGGUUACAGUGGAGUACAUUGAAGCCAGUAAUUCUACUUCCCUGGGCAGCAGUGGAAUAGAUUGAAGAUUUCAGAUCUUGCCUUCUUGCAUCGACAAUGAAGCAGAUCGAAGAUGGCGGAUUUUACCUCCCUGAGGUUACAGUGGAGUACAUUGAAGCCAGUAAUUCUAUCUCCCUGGGCAACAGUGAAAUAGAUUGAAGAUUACAGAUCUUGCCUCCCUAAGCAGUAGUGGAGCAGAUCAAAGAUGGCAGAUUUUACCUCCCUGAGGUUACAGUGGAGUACAUUGAAGCCAGUAAUUCUAUCUCCUUGGGCGACAAUGGAAUAGAUUGGAGAUUUCAGAUCUUGCCUCCCUAAGCAGUAGUGGAGCAGAUCGAAGAUGGCAGAUUUUACCUCUCUGAAGUUGUAGUGGAGUAUAUUAGUAAUUCUACUUCCCCUGUUGGCGUGAAGUAGAUCAAAGAUAGCAGAUCUUGUCUUCCCAUACUGGUGGCGAAGUAGAUCGAAGAAAGUAGAUCAAAGAUGGUGGAUUUUACCUCCCUGAGGUUGCAGUGGAGUACAUUGAAGCCAGUAAUUCUAUCUCCCUGGGCAACAGUGGAAUAGAUUGAAGAUUUCAGAUCUUGUCUCCCCAAGCAGUAGUGGAGCAGAUCAAAGAUGACAGAUUUUACCUCCCUGUGGUUACAACGGAGUACAUUGAAGCCAGUAAUUCUACUUCCCUGGGCAGCAGUGGAAUAGAUUGAAUAUUUCAGAUCUUAUCUCCCUAAGCAGUAGUGGAGCAGAUCAAAGAUGGUGAAUUUUACCUCCCUGUGGUUACAGUACAUUGAAGCCAGUAAUUCUACUUCCCUGGGCAGCAGUGAAAUAGAUUAAAGAUUUCAGAUCUUGUCUCCCUAAGCAGUAGUGGAGCAGAUCAAAGAUGGUGAAUUUUACCUCAUUGUGGUUAUAGUGGAGUAUAUUGAAGCCAGUAAUUCUAUCUCCCUAGGCAGCAGUGGAAUAGAUUGAAGAUUUCAGAUCUUAUCUCUCUAAGCAGUAGUGGAGUAGAUCAAAGAUAAUGGAUUUUACCUCCCUGUGGUUACAGUGGAGUACAUUGAAGCCAGUUACCCUAUCUCCCCGAAGUUGCAGUAGAGCAGAUCGCAUCAGAUUUAUCUUUAAGUUGUGGCAGAACAAGUUAAAGCUAUAAGUCUCAUCUCCAUGAGUUUACAGUGGAGCAGAUUAAAGAUAGCAAAUUUUGUUCUUUUGAGGAGCUACAACGUAGAAAUCCUAUCUCCCCGACAUUGCAGUGGAGUAGAUAGAAACACCAAUUCCUAUACCUCUCAGGAUGCAGUAGGAAGGAAUGAAGCUAUUGGAAGUAGAGAAGCAAUGAAGAAAUCGAGGCUUAGUAAAACCGGGCAUAAUUGGGUAUUUUAGUCUUUGCUCUGUUCCCGUCACACGACAACGAGUAAAGAGGGGCAACUGUAAUACCAAUUAUUUACCCGGGCCCACAUAAUAAUUAAAACAGAAAAAAUAAACAGUCCAAUACUAGCAGGCCCAAUAGCCAAUUUUCAAACCCUAGCCAAGCAAAAUUAAUUUGCUGAAAUCCUCAACCGGCCUCCCCUACACGCGCGCCGCUCCCACAUACAACAGCACCCACGUUCUCCUCCACAUUGACUGGCCGCAUACCUGCAAUACAACAAACAAGGAGCAAAUAGCGAAAAGAAAGGGAUUCAUAGCAAAAUGGAAUGAAAGAAAUAUUUUUAUAUAUCUAUUUUCCUUUUCGCUUUGGCUAUAAAAAGCCAAUUAAAAUCUGUAUACCAGGGGAAAAAAAAAGAAAUAGAGGAUAAUACUGAAAAUUGAAAGAAAAACAGUGAAAUAAAGUCGAAAGAGGUGAAUCGCAUCUUUGAUUAUUCAUUAUUUAUUUUUGUUGUUUUUUUACUGCUUUUAUAUUGAACCAAGGGGAAAAAUACUACCUUCGUGGUUACGCCGUGGGGAUCCAAGUCUGCCACGCUUGAGUCGGGGUCGGAAUCGGUGCCGGAAUUUGGACCGACCAAAUCGCUUCAAACGGCGGCGCAAGGAUGGGUUAAAAGAACCCUAGCAGAGCCACAUUUUGUUUUUUUAAAAAGGAACCAAAUGAUUUUGUU